GAUGAACGCUGGCGGCGUGCCUAAUACAUGCAAGUCGAGCGAACAGAUAAGGAGCUUGCUCCUUUGACGUUAGCGGCGGACGGGUGAGUUACACGUGGAUAACCUACCUAUAAGACUGGGAUAACUUCGGGAACCGGAGCUAAUACCGGAUAACAUAUUGAACCGCAUGGUUCAAUAGUGAAAGGCGGCUUUGCUGUCACUUAUAGAUGGAUCCGCGCCGUAUUAGCUAGUUGGUAAGGUAACGGCUUACCAAGGCAACGAUACGUAGCCGACCUGAGAGGGUGAUCGGCCACACUGGAACUGAGACACGGUCCAGACUCCUACGGGAGGCAGCAGUAGGGAAUCUUCCGCAAUGGGCGAAAGCCUGACGGAGCAACGCCGCGUGAGUGAUGAAGGUCUUCGGAUCGUAAAACUCUGUUAUCAGGGAAGAACAAAUGUGUAAGUAACUGUGCACAUCUUGACGGUACCUGAUCAGAAAGCCACGGCUAACUACGUG
RNAcentral lists this ribosomal RNA (496 nucleotides) under uncultured bacterium. RNAcentral's name for it is "partial 16S ribosomal RNA". It matches the Rfam family "Bacterial small subunit ribosomal RNA", at positions 28 to 507 of the family's 1533-position model. The record is from RNAcentral.